CAGUAGCCACGGUAAUACGUAGGGCGCAAGCGUUGUCCGGAAUUAUUGGGCGUAAAGAGCUCGUAGGCGGUCUGUCGCGUCUGGUGUGAAAUCCCGAGGCUCAACCUCGGGCUUGCAUCGGGUACGGGCAGACUAGAGUGCGGUAGGGGAGACUGGAAUUCCUGGUGUAGCGGUGGAAUGCGCAGAUAUCAGGAGGAACACCGAUGGCGAAGGCAGGUCUCUGGGCCGCAACUGACGCUGAGGAGCGAAAGCAUGGGGAGCGAACAGGAUUAGAUACCCCGGUAGUCCCUGUCUCUUAUAC
RNAcentral lists this ribosomal RNA (301 nucleotides) under uncultured bacterium. RNAcentral describes it as "partial 16S ribosomal RNA". It matches the Rfam family "Bacterial small subunit ribosomal RNA", at positions 509 to 807 of the family's 1533-position model. The record is from RNAcentral.